GACGAACGCUGGCGGCGUGCUUAACACAUGCCAGUCGAACGGAAAGGCCCUGCUUUUGUGGGGUGCUCGAGCGGCGAACGGGUGAGUAACACGUGAGUAACCUGCCCUUGACUAUGGGAUAACUUCAGGAAACUGGGGCUAAUACCGGAUAGGAGCUCGUGCUGCAUGGUGGGGGUUGGAAAGUUUCGGCGGUUGGGGAUGGACUCGCGGCUUAUCAGCUUGUUGGUGGGGUAGUUGCUUACCAAGGCUUUGACGGGUAGCCGGCCUGGGAGGGUGACCGGCCACAUUGGGACUGAGAUACGGCCCAGACUCCUACGGGCGGCAGCAGUGGGAAAUAUUGCACGAUGGGCGGAGGCCGGAUGCAGCAACGCCGCGUGCGGGAUGACGGCCGUCGGGUUGUAAACCGCUUUCGCCUGUGACGAAGCGUGAGUGACGGUAAUGGGUAAAGAAGCACCGGCUAACUACGUG
Molecule: ribosomal RNA, 468 nt
Filed under: uncultured bacterium
Lineage: Bacteria
Description: partial 16S ribosomal RNA
Rfam family: Bacterial small subunit ribosomal RNA
Source: RNAcentral